UAAACAGAUAAGAGAAUCCUUAACAAGUAAAUGUGGAUUCUAAUUUAAAUCCUUUGACGAGGAACAAUUGCAGGGCAAGUCUGGUGCCAGUAGCCACGAUAACUCUAGCUCCAA
RNAcentral lists this non-coding RNA (114 nucleotides) under Trichobilharzia regenti. RNAcentral describes it as "Eukaryotic small subunit ribosomal RNA". It matches the Rfam family "Eukaryotic small subunit ribosomal RNA", at positions 478 to 594 of the family's 1831-position model. Lineage: Eukaryota; Metazoa; Platyhelminthes; Trematoda; Strigeidida; Schistosomatidae. The record is from Rfam by way of RNAcentral.